This 291-nucleotide ribosomal RNA is filed under the name uncultured bacterium. Its description in RNAcentral is "partial 16S ribosomal RNA". It matches the Rfam family "Bacterial small subunit ribosomal RNA", at positions 773 to 1060 of the family's 1533-position model. The record is from RNAcentral.
GUGGAUUAGAUACCCUGGUAGUCCACGCCCUAAACGAUGCGAACUAGGUGUUGGGGAAGGAGACUUCUUUAGUACCGUAGCUAACGCGUGAAGUUCGCCGCCUGGGGAGUACGGUCGCAAGAUUAAAACUCAAAGGAAUUGACGGGGACCCGCACAAGCGGUGGAUGAUGUGGAUUAAUUCGAUGCAACGCGAAAAACCUUACCUACCCUUGACAUGCCAGGAACUUUCCAGAGAUGGAUUGGUGCUCGAAAGAGAGCCUGGACACAGGUGCUGCAUGGUUGUCGCCAACU